Molecule: ribosomal RNA, 1317 nt
Filed under: uncultured bacterium
Lineage: Bacteria
Description: bacterial SSU rRNA
Rfam family: Bacterial small subunit ribosomal RNA
Source: RNAcentral
GGAUGAACGUUGGCGGUGUGCCUAAUACAUGCAAGUCGAACGAAGACUGUAGCAAUACUGUCUUAGUGGCGAACGGGUGAGUAACGCGUUGGUGAUCUGCCUCGAAGUGUGGAAUAACCUCCCGAAAGGGAUGCUAAUACCGCAUGGUCUCUCAAGGUUUAGAAAAUUGAGAGUAAAGGAUUUAUUCGCUUCGAGAGGAGCCUGCGUCCCAUCAGCUGGUUGGUAGGGUAACGGCCUACCAAGGCUAUGACGGGUAGGGGACCUGAGAGGGUGGCCCCCCACAAUGGAACUGAAACACGGUCCAUACACCUACGGGUGGCAGCAGUAGGGAAUAUUAGAAAUGGGCGAAAGCCUGAUCUAGCAACACCGCGUGUGCGAUGAAGGCCUUCGGGUUGUAAAGCACUUUUUGGAGGGAAUAGGAAGGAAGGUACCUCCAGAAUAAGUCUCGGCUAACUACGUGCCAGCAGCCGCGGUAACACGUAGGGGGCGAGCGUUGUUCGGAAUUACUGGGCGUAAAGGGCAUGUAGGCGGCUUGGUAAGCCUGGCGUGAAAGUCUGCAGCUUAACUGUAGGGAUGCGUUGGGAACUGCUUAGCUUGAGUUACGGAGAGGGAGCUGGAAUUCCUGGUGUAGGGGUGAAAUCUGUAGAUAUCAGGAAGAACACCGAUGGCGAAGGCAAGCUUCUGGCCGACAACUGACGCUGAGGUGCGAAAGUGUGGGGAUCAAACAGGAUUAGAUACCCUGGUAGUCCACACAGUAAACGAUGUGCACGAGGUGCUGGGGCGGUAGUUUCAGUGCCGGAGCGAACGCGGUAAGUGCACCGCCUGGGGAGUAUGCUCGCAAGGGUGAAACUCAAAGGAAUUGACGGGGGCCCGCACAAGCGGUGGAGCAUGUGGUUUAAUUCGAUGGUACACGAGGAACCUUACCUGGGUUUGACAUACGGAGGGAAGUGGCAGAGAUGUCACUGCGUAGAGAUACGGCUCCGUACAGGUGCUGCAUGGCUGUCGUCAGCUCGUGUCGUGAGAUGUUCGGUUAAGUCCGCUAACGAGCGCAACCCGCGCUGUGUGUUACAAGUGUCACAUAGUACCGCCGGUAUUAAGUCGGAGGAAGGUGCGGAUGACGUCAAGUCAGCAUGACCUUUAUAUCCAGGGCUACACACACGCUACAAUGGUCAGCACAAUAGGUUGCCAAGCCGCAAGGCGGAGCCAAUCCUCCAAAGCUGGCCUCAGUUCAGAUUGCAGGCUGCAACUCGCCUGCAUGAAGUCGGAGUUGCUAGUAACCGCAGGUCAGCAUACUGCGGUGAAUACGUUCCCGGGGAU